AAUUCAUGGUACGAGCAUUUUUGAAUCAAAAUUUUGAAACGUUCCCAUGCCUCAUAAAAACUUUCUCCCUCUAUCUUUCUAGAAAAAUCUCUCCUUUAGUU
Gossypium hirsutum (cotton) is the source of this 101-nucleotide non-coding RNA. Lineage: Eukaryota; Viridiplantae; Streptophyta; Magnoliopsida; Malvales; Malvaceae. The record is from Rfam.